Molecule: ribosomal RNA, 496 nt
Filed under: uncultured bacterium
Lineage: Bacteria
Description: partial 16S ribosomal RNA
Rfam family: Bacterial small subunit ribosomal RNA
Source: RNAcentral
AUUGAACGCUGGCGGAAUGCUUUACACAUGCAAGUCGAACGGUAGAGGGGGCAACCCCUCGAGAGUGGCGAACGGGUGAGUAAUAUAUCGGAACGUGCCCAGUCGUGGGGGACAACGUAGCGAAAGUUACGCUAAUACCGCAUACGAUCUAAGGAUGAACGCGGGGGAUCGCACGACCUCGCGCGAUUGGAGCGGCCGAUAUCAGAUUAGGUAGUUGGUGGGGUAAAGGCUCACCAAGCCAACGAUCUGUAGCUGGUCUGAGAGGACGACCAGCCACACUGGAACUGAGACACGGUCCAGACUCCUACGGGAGGCAGCAGUGGGGAAUUUUGGACAAUGGACGCAAGUCUGAUCCAGCCAUUCCGCGUGCAGGAUGAAGGCCCUCGGGUUGUAAACUGCUUUUGUACGGAACGAAAAGGUCUCUCUUAAUACGGGGGGCUCAUGACGGUACCGUAAGAAUAAGCACCGGCUAACUACGUGCCAGCCGCCGCAGUAA